Molecule: long non-coding RNA, 2653 nt
Organism: Entelurus aequoreus (snake pipefish)
Lineage: Eukaryota; Metazoa; Chordata; Actinopteri; Syngnathiformes; Syngnathidae
Exons: 3
Source: RefSeq, a predicted model, not a curated record
ACCAAUAAGCAUCCAGCAGCUUUAUUUUGGCAGCCUCACUGCGCAUGGCUACAGUCGCACAGGAAAACGUAACGGCGAUAAUUAGAAAAGAACCUUGCUUUGGGAUCAGGAAUUAAACAUCAAACUCGGGAAGCGGCGCAUAGUAAACAAUCCUGACAGGAGCCAAUGGGAGAGCGAGAUCAUCGCUCUGACUUCCGGAGUGGGCUGAAAACUUAGCAGCGAGGCCACGCCCACCGUUGACUUUGCUUGGAGGGGAGCCUGAAAGAGGAGGUCACACAGAUGAAAAGCAACAUGAGUGGUCCACCCUAGGUCCCGACUUGAAACAGCUACCGCCUCCUCCAUGGAAACUGAUCGAUGGCCACCUGAUAACCUCUCUACCCAGGAGAGGGGGGCAAAGCAGAAAGAGAGGCGGCAGAUCAACUGGUUUAAAAAGUGGUCUAUUUAAAGCAGGCCUAUUCAACUGGCGGCCCGCGGGCCACAACCGGCCCACCGAACAUCACCCAACCAUUGAUGAUCCAUCCAUCCAUUUCCUACCGCUUGUCCCUUUUGGGGUCGCGGGGGGUGCUGGAGCCUAUCUCAGCUGCAUUCGGGCGGAAGGCGGGUUACACCCUGAACAAGUCGCCACCUACCAUUGAUGAUGAAACCACUAAAACUAAAGUUGCUCAUGUAUGCAGUACUCCAGCCACCCUGCAGGGGCCAACAGCGAGGCUUAUGUGUCACAAUGAAUCAACAGUGGGGUGAGUAGUAGAAGACUACUCGAUCAAUCCUGAAAAAAAAAAUCGAAAUAGAUUGAAAAAAAUCAAACUUUUAUCAACGACUGGACAAUAAAGUAUGAAUGUUCUGCCCUGACCAAUUCUUGAGUCAUUGUUUUCUCGCGGACCUUUCAAGCGACGGACACAUUGAUCCAGACAAGCAGCAACAAUGGUAGAAAUCCCAGCGUGUAACCUGUUUUACGAAACUUGGUCAAACAUUUGUAAGUAGAUAUUGUGCAUAAAAAUAUUUUGUUUGUUUUGUAUUGAAAUUGCUGACAUUGUGAUGUCUUCUGUAUUCGUGGUCGCGUUGGUAUUUGUCUGUGAGUAACUAUGCCGAUCAAAAUUCAUUCAAUAGUUUCAAGUUUCAAGUUUAUUCACAAUACCAUAGAACAUUUACAAUAGUAGUGAAUAUCAUUUAAAGAUGUUGGUAAGUGAAAGGGUCCCCCAAAUAAGCUAGAAGAAGCUUUUGACAGGGGGUCCAGAGGACAGUAUGUACAUGGAAUGAUGAAAAAUGGUAGCAAGCACAACAACAGCAAAAAAAACAACAACACUAUAUGAUAAACACAAGAUAAUAGUACUAAAGCAUGCAUACACAUACAUACAUACAUUCAUUCGACCAUGCAAAACCCAACAGUAGUCAACCCCACAUGAGGCAUUAGAGAUAGGUGGUUAAUAGGUAAGUUUUCAGUUUCUUUUUGAAGUUGGAGAAUGGAUACCGCAUCUGAGGCUCUCAUUAAGCCGGUUCCAAAUCUUUGGUCCCCUGCAUACAACACUUCGAGCGGUGCAAGCCAGUAGACGAUGUUUACCUGAUAUCAGAUCUAAGUUACGAGGGUUGUGGGCAUGCUGGGGAUGGUAGAUAGGAACCAGGCUACAGAGCCUAAGAUUCAGUCUGUGAAUGACUUGAUAGGUUAAACAAGCAUUUUGAUAAAUAUUGAACUCUGUCAGUCUUAAGAGAUGAUAAUUAUGGAAUAGAUGUCGAGUGGGGGCAUUAAACUUGGACCAUGACAGGGCCCGUAUGAUUUUCUUUUGCAUGGAUUCUAAUUUGUGACGGUAGCUAGGGAAGGUGUUACACCAGAUGACAUUACAGUAGUUUAGAUGUGGUUCAAAGAGAGUUUUAUAUAGGGUAAGUAGAGCAUACAGAGGAAGAUAAUGACGAAGGUGAAAGAACAGGCCAACAUAUUUGGAUAAUUUGUUUAACAGAUGGCUAAUGUGACAUUUGAAAUUGAGGUAUUCGUCAAUGAUGACCCCCAGGAAUUUUGUGGAAUACACUCUGUAUUUCCUGCCCAUUGAUGUUGAUAUGGCAGUGCUCAGUAUUUGUCCGUACAUACUGUACAUGUAGCGUUAAAUUUGACCAGUAGAGGGCGACAACGCUACAUCUUAGGUUUAACUGCGAUAAGUCAUGUACAGUGUGUGCAAUGUUUGGUGUGUGAAGGUUGUGUAAUUUCUUAAUGCGUAAACAUUUGUUGUUUAUCGUUUGAAAACAGUCACACUAAAACUUCUAUUUUAUUUAUGUAAAAUACACAAUGGCCAUUAUUUAUGUUAAAAUACACAAUUGUUGUUAUGUUUAUUUUAUGGUUACACACUGUUGUUAUGUUUAUUUUAUGGUUAUAUUUUCAGUCUUACAAACCUAAAUGAAGGAAGAAGUGUGAAGAAAUAAAACUGAGGAAGGAAAAGACUGCAAAAGAAGGAACAUCAAUCCUCAACAAAACUUCUCGAGCUUCUGUUUCUUAAUGCUUUUAAUUAGCUGCACACGCUGGAAACGAGUAGCGAGGGCAGAAUAAUGAAUUUAUUGAUAGUGCAGUGUGAAAGCGGAUGUGUUUAAUUUGCAAUUAAGUAAACACAGUUUCAAAGGAAUAUAACCUGCAGAAGCACUUUCUGACGAAACAUCCACAUUCCGAUUU